UACGUAGGGGGCAAGCGUUAUCCGGAUUCACUGGGUGUAAAGGGAGCGUAGACGGCCAUGCAAGCCUGGAGUGAAAGCCCGGGGCCCAACCCCGGGACUGCUCUGGGAACUGUGCGGCUGGAGUGCGGGAGGGGCAGGCGGAAUUCCAGGUGUAGGAGUGAAAUCCGUAGAUAUCUGGAGGAACAUCAGUGGCGAAGGCGGCCACCUGGACCGGUAUUGACGCUGAGGCGCGAAAGCGUGGGGAGCAGACAGG
RNAcentral lists this ribosomal RNA (253 nucleotides) under uncultured bacterium. RNAcentral describes it as "partial 16S ribosomal RNA". It matches the Rfam family "Bacterial small subunit ribosomal RNA", at positions 524 to 776 of the family's 1533-position model. The record is from RNAcentral.